RNAcentral lists this ribosomal RNA (483 nucleotides) under uncultured bacterium. RNAcentral describes it as "bacterial SSU rRNA". It matches the Rfam family "Bacterial small subunit ribosomal RNA", at positions 28 to 526 of the family's 1533-position model. The record is from RNAcentral.
GACGAACGCUGGCGGCGUGCUUAACACAUGCAAGUCGAACGGAAAGGCCCGCUUGCGGGUACUCGAGUGGCGAACGGGUGAGUAACACGUGGGCAACCUGCCCUCAGCUUCGGGAUAACACUUGGAAACAGGUGCUAAUACCGGAUAAUAACCUUUCAUCGCAUGGUGGAUGGUUCAAAGUUUUUCGGCUGAGGAUGGGCCCGCGGCCUAUCAGCUUGUUGGUGGGGUAAUGGCCUACCAAGGCGACGACGGGUAGCCGGCCUGAGAGGGCGACCGGCCACACUGGGACUGAGACACGGCCCAGACUCCUACGGGAGGCAGCAGUGGGGAAUAUUGCGCAAUGGGCGGAAGCCUGACGCAGCGACGCCGCGUGAGGGAUGACGGCCUUCGGGUUGUAAACCUCUUUCAGCUCUGACGAAGCGCAAGUGACGGUAGGAGCAGAAGAAGCACCGGCCAACUACGUGCCAGCCGCCGCCGUAAAAC